RNAcentral lists this ribosomal RNA (976 nucleotides) under uncultured methanotrophic proteobacterium. Its description in RNAcentral is "bacterial SSU rRNA". It matches the Rfam family "Bacterial small subunit ribosomal RNA", at positions 64 to 1038 of the family's 1533-position model. Lineage: Bacteria; Pseudomonadati; Pseudomonadota. The record is from RNAcentral.
GAACGGUAACAGGCCUUCGGGCGCUGACGAGUGGCGGACGGGUGAGUAACGCGUAGGAAUCUGCCUAGUAGUGGGGGACAACAUGUGGAAACGCAUGCUAAUACCGCAUACGCCCUACGGGGGAAAGCGAGGGAUCUUCGGACCUCGCGCUAUUAGAUGAGCCUGCGUUAGAUUAGCUAGUUGGUGGGUAAUGGCCUACCAAGGCGACGAUCUAUAGCUGGUCUGAGAGGACGAUCAGCCACACUGGGACUGAGACACGGCCCAGACUCCUACGGGAGGCAGCAGUGGGGAAUAUUGGACAAUGGGCGAAAGCCUGAUCCAGCAAUACCACGUGUGUGAAGAAGGCCUGAGGGUUGUAAAGCACUUUCAAUUGGGAGGAAAACAGCUGGGUUAAUAGCCCUGCUCUUGACAUUACCUUUAGAAGAAGCACCGGCUAACUCCGUGCCAGCAGCCGCGGUAAUACGGAGGGUGCGAGCGUUAAUCGGAAUUACUGGGCGUAAAGCCUACGUAGGCGGUUAUUUAAGUCAGAUGUGAAAGCCCCGGGCUCAACCUGGGAACUGCAUUUGAUACUGGAUAACUAGAGUUUGAUAGAGGAGAGUAGAAUUUCUGGUGUAGCGGUGAAAUGCGUAGAGAUCAGAAGGAAUACCAGUGGCGAAGGCGGCUCUCUGGAUCAAAACUGACGCUGAGGUACGAAAGCGUGGGUGGCAAACAGGAUUAGAUACCCUGGUAGUCCACGCCGUAAACGAUGUCAACUAGCCGUUGGGUCCAAUUAAGGACUUAGUGGUGCAGCUAACGCAUUAAGUUGACCGCCUGGGGAGUACGGCCGCAAGGCUAAAACUCAAAUGAAUUGACGGGGGCCCGCACAAGCGGUGGAGCAUGUGGUUUAAUUCGAUGCAACGCGAAGAACCUUACCUACCCUUGACAUACUAAGAACUUUCCAGAGAUGGAUUGGUGCCUUCGGGAGCCAAGACACAGG